GGCGCCGUAGUUCAACUGGAUAGAACGGGAGUUUCCUAAACUCCAAAUGCGGGUUCGAGUCCCGCCGGGGCCA
RNAcentral lists this transfer RNA (73 nucleotides) under Pseudomonadota bacterium. RNAcentral describes it as "tRNA-Arg". It matches the Rfam family "tRNA". From Rfam's summary of the family: Transfer RNA (tRNA) molecules are approximately 80 nucleotides in length. Their secondary structure includes four short double-helical elements and three loops (D, anti-codon, and T loops). The record is from RNAcentral. Lineage: Bacteria; Pseudomonadati; Pseudomonadota. RNAcentral also lists the same sequence under 1 other name.